UUUUUUAGGGCUGCACCCGUGGCAUGUGGAGGAUCCCAGGCUAGGGGUCUAAUCAGAGUUACAGCUGCCGGGCUACACCACAGCCAUAACAAUGCCAGAUCUGAGCCACGUCUGUGACCUACACAGCCCAUGGCAAUGCCGGAUCCUUAACCCACUGAGUGAGGCCAGGACUUGAACCCGCAACCUCAUGGUUCCUAGUCAGAUUCGUUUCCACUGUGCCAUAACAGGAACUCCCAGAAUUUUUUUUAAUAAAUGAGAUAUUCAGUUGGAAGUGGUUUUUAAGAUAGCUUGAUGUGAGAGAAUUGGCUGAGGUAGGAAUUAUGUUUUGAAGUAGAGGCUUAAAGUUAUCAGGGUAUUAAUUAAGGUUGGUGGUUUAAAAGGAAAAAUUUUUUUUUUUUUGAAAAUAGCAAAGGGAAAAUUUAACCCAAAUAUUUUGUGAAAAUUUUUGCUGUAUGUAUGUAUUUAUUUAUUUUGCUUUUUGAACCAAACCUGUGACAAAUGGAAUUUCCUGGGCUAGGGGUUGAAUCAGAGCUGAAACCACAAGAGCAGGGGUUCAAGCUGCGUCUUCAGCCUACACCACAGCUCACCACAACGCCGGAUCCUUGACCCAUUGAGCCAGGCCAGGUUUUGAACCCGAAUCCUCAUAGAUACUAGUCAGGUUCUUAACCUGCUGAGCCACAAAGAGAACUCCCCAUUUGUUUUUAAUUAGAGAAGGAAAUGGAUAAAUUCUUGUUUUCUCCCAAGUUAGGUGUUUUGUUAGUUGGAUGUUUCUAAAAUCUCUGUACUUUCUAAUUAUCUUAAGAUCAAGGACAGAGCACUUUUCUUAUUGGGAAUUUCUCUGAAGUAGCCAUGAUGGAGCCUUGCUCAAGGUGAUUUGUAAUACUUGUGUGUGGAUUUCAUCAUUGGCAAAGGCUGCCCCAUCCUAUUGUUCAUGCAGACAUAAUUGUUGGCCAGGGAUUUGGGCUAACAUAAAGUGACUGGUUACUCAGCCCUAUUAUAUACUCAAUAAUAAAUAUCUUCUUACAUCAUGUUUGAUGAACAUAAAUAGAUGUAGGAUUAGUUAAAUAUUUAUGACAGUCAGCUAUACCAGUAGGUAUACAUAUAAUAUUUUAUAUUCAAACCCUUAGCAUACAUAAAUAUGGAAUAAAAAAGAGAGUCAAUGAAUGUACAAUUUAGAGGUGUUUUGAUCCAACAUUUUAAUGUACAUUAAAAUGAAUUUAGUGUAUUUUAAGGUCUGUUUGAAAUACUCAGUGCAUAGAGUUGUUGUUGUUGUUGUUGUUGUUGUUUUAAACUGGGAUAUAAUAAAUACUUUACUGAGACCUUGAAUGCCCAGAGUUCAUAAUUAUCCCAAAGAAUCUUUUCACUCCAGGCCACCUGGAGACAAAAUUUUAAAGUAGGGAAAGUUUGCAUUUUACUAUUACCUUUCAUCUUUAGGAAUGACUCUUAUUACCCUAGGCCCAGAAUUAACCUGCAUUCUCAUAUGUAGCCUUUUUCUUACCUCCAAAAUAUUUUCUCUAUUGCACAGGACUUAGACUAUGAUUUCCUGAUGUUCCUAACUUGAGGGUAAUUGCUCUUCCCUCCUGAGUUCUAGCCAUCCUUCUCUGUUUGAAAAUGGGGUUAUUCACAUACCAAGUGAUCACCCCUCCCCACCAGCCAGGCACAAAGUGUGAUGUAGAAAGUUUUUAGCAUCACCUCAGUCAAAGAAGUUGCCUGAAAUAAAUAUGCCAUCUUGGCUACUAGCUGUACUAUUAGAGGUACAUAUACUAUUUUUAAUUCAAACCCUUAGCAGAUAUAAAUAUGGAGUGAAAAAGAGAAUCAACAAAUGCACAACUUAGAGAUAUUUUGGUUCACCAUUUUAAUAUAGAUUAAAAUGAAUUAGUGUAUUUUUAAGUUUAUAAAUUCCCAGUGCAUAGAGUUUUGUUUAAAAAAAAAAAAAAGUAAUAUAAUAAAUACUGCACCGAGACUUUGAAUGCCCAGAGUUCAUAAUUACCUCAAAGAAUUUUUUAUCAGCUACACAGCCUGGCUUUGAGUAUAAAAAUGAGAAAUUUUCUUCUGGUAGUUAUAGCUGAAUAGCCCUGGUGAGUUUCCAUACAAGUGGAGUGGGGACCUUAAUCAAAAUUUCAUGGGAAAUAAUACCACUUUGAAUAAUUCAGCUGUUACUUUCUUUGACUAAACUGAGCUCUAACAGCCCAGGACAUCACAGAUGAGAUGCAUUUUCUCUAGCUCCCUACCAUUCUUACCUUUACUGGCUUUUUCUAUGCAAAUAAAGCAGAGCUAUCCUAGGAAAUCAAGAUAUCAUUACAUUUAUUGUCUUUUCUCUCAUCACUGUUUUUCCCUAUUAAAGUUAUAUGUUAGUUCUUUAAAAAUAGCCUCAGGGACCCCUGUGUUUUUUCUCUAAGCCAUACCAAUCUAAAAUAAACUAACAAAAUCACACAUACAAAAGAAGGAGAAGGAGAUGAUGAGAUGACGACGAUGACGACGAAGAAGAAAGCCCAAAACAGGUUAUUUAAAGAUGCAAUUCAACAAGGCCAGAAAUGAGGUCUUGAUCUCCUGGGAUAGCACACAUCUGCUAGUAGGCUGCCCGUUUGCUUUUCUUUGCCCAAUGGAACAUUUGGUAUAGGUGAUUAAUGAGAGAUCAACGGAGAAACAAAGUGACAUACUUCCCAAAUUGAAGACUUCAGCUUACAGGAGUCCCUGUGGAAAUCUUGAGGUCAUCUUCUAAGGAAACAAAGGAGUAUUGAACAUGAAGAAGGAGAAUUGCCUGAAAAAAAUCAAUCUUGAACAGCUCUUCUCGGUUAUUUCUGUUCUGAUGGUGUGUUAACUCAUAACAUGAGGACAAAACCAAAAAGCAACCAACCUGAAUUAAGCAAACCCCAAUUUCUUAAAAGCACUCAAAGACGUAUUAUUGAUAACAAAUUGAAAGUACAGUUCCUCCUUUGCUAAAAAUUAUGUUCUUUGUUACUAUCCACAUGGAGAGCUUGCCAUAUGCCUGGUUCCCAAGAUGUAUUAGCAGAGAUAAAGACACUGAUUUGUGAGGAAAAUGAGGAAUCUGGCCAAUGUCACCCGGUAACUUUAUCAAUAGGGAAAGAAAGCAAGCAAAAUACAGCUCCCCUUCAAACUCUUGGCAGAUAAACAAACAUAAAUACCAAUGUAUAGAGUAUGCUUGUAUGUAUGAUCUUUAACCAAAAUAUAUAUUUAUAGGUGAGGCUUAUUGUCUUAUUUAUAGAUUUAUGUGCAAUUUUUGUAUUUUUUAAAGAAAUAUGCAGAAUCCAAGUAUUUCUGGAUUUUAGGAUUUCCUGAGCAUUUAUGUUAUUUGUAAAACUUGAUUCUAGAAAUAUUUUCUCCAGAAACCUCUCUAUUGACAUAAUAUUAUUGGAACAUAUGAUAGUAACUACACUUAACAACCUGCAUAUGAACAGUGAAGUUCCUAUGUCAAACAGUUCAAAAUCAAACAGUUAAGUUCCUAUAUCUUAUAGGUCACAAUACUUGGCACCAAAGUUAUAACAAAAUAAUAGACAUGGACUUACCCCCAAAGUUCUUACACUUUCCUAGGUGAAGUGGCAUUUAUUUAUAUUCUUGAAGAAUUCCAUGCCCCCUUCCCCCCCCCCAAAAAAAAAGAGGAGUUCCCAUCGUGGCUCAGUGGAAAUGAAUCUGACUAGCAUCCAUGAGGACGCAGGUUCCAUGCCUGGCCUAGUCUCCCUCAGUGUGGCUAAGGGUCUGGAGUUGCUUUGAGCUGUGGUGUAGGUUGCAGAGGCAUCUUGGAUCUGGCAUCGCUGUGGCUGUGGCUGGUGGCUGCAGUUCGGGUUCAGAUUCGACCCCUAGCCUGGGAAACUCCAUAUGCAGCAGGUGCCCUAAAAAACAAACUAACAACAAUAAAAAAAAAACACUGGAAUUCCAUGCCCAAAUGCACAGUAAUGUGAAGCACUCUCAGUUUAUGAUAAGGUAUAAAUUCCUACCUGUAGAACAAAAAACAACUGGUUAGCACACAUUGUCAAAUGAGCAACAUGGAAAAUAAAAGCAAAACUGAAAUUGAAAAUAAAUCUACACACAACUUUUAUAAAAAGCCUCAUGGUACAAACAUGAAGGAUUUUAAAGUUUCAAGAAGUGAACUUUUAUAAAAUCUGGAGGCAGGGUUUGAGUCCCAUCUCUGACACACAUUGUCUGAGUUCUAAAGACGGUAUACAAGCCCUACCAUUGUUUCACAAUGGAGUUGUUAUUGGCAUUUGGAGCAGGAUAAUUCUUCUUUGUUGUGUCUGCCUGAAAAUUUGUAGCGUAUUUACCAUCCUUUGCUCCUGACAUCAAAGGUUAUUAUGACCUCCCAUUUUCUUUCUUUCUUUUUUUUUUUUUUUGUCUUUUUAGGGCCACACCUGCAACCUGCAGCAUAUGGAGGUUCCCAGGCUAAGGGCCCAAUCAGAACUGUAGUCACUGGCUUACACCAAGCCACAGCAAUGCCAGAUCUGAGCCGCAUCUGUGGCCUACACCAUAACUCAGGGCGAUGCCAGAUCCUUAACCCACUGAGCAAGGUCAAGGAUCGAACCUAUGUCCUCAUGGGUUCUAGUCAGAUUCGCUCCCGCUGGGCCACCACAGGAACUCCUGACCUCCCAUUUUCUUGACACAAACCCUCCCCGCCUCAACCCUCACACUUUGCAAAAAAAUUGAAUAGAAGUUAGUGAUGGGGUGGGUGCUGUCACCUUUGUUGAGUACCUCUAUUUUUAACCAUCAUGAACCUGUUAUUCCCUCAUUUGUAAAUAGGACUUUUUGUUCACAAAUUAAUUUUUCCCUUUGUUCUGAAUUUCUCAAAUUCCCUACAGAUUACAACAUAAAGUAAAAUCAUAAAGAUAACUUUUAGAAUCUUUGUGGGGAUGUUAAUCUUUUUUUUUAUCUUGCCUCACAAGUAUGACCACUAUAUGGGCAUUGGAGAAGGAAGCAAUGAGCAGCUAGAAACAAAGUAUAUGGCAGGAUAAGAAAAAAAAAUGUUACCUCCGGAGUUCCCAUCAUUGCUCAGUGGUUAACGAAUCUGACUAGGAACCAUGAGCUUGCAGGUUUGAUCCCUGGCCUUGCUCAGUGGGCCUUGGUCAGCGUGGCCGUGAGCUGUGGUGUAGGUUGCAGACGCAGCUCGGAUCCCACGUUGCUGUGGCUCUGGCGUAGGCUGGCGGCUAUAGCUCCUAUUCGACCCUUAGCCUGAGAACCUCUUUAUGCCGUGGGAGCAGCCCUAGAAAUGGCAAAAGGACAAAAAACAAAACAAAACAAAUUCUGAAAAUAUUUCAUUUCAUCUUCUGUUUUUUUCCUUCCUCUCUUAGUAUACUCAUACUGUGCUUGUGCCAUGAAACUUGAAGUAGCAAUAAAUUCAUUGCCUCAUACAGCAACUGAGCUCAAUAAAACUAGGUGAAUUUUAAUGAGAUAAAUACUAAAUCUUACCACUAAAAAAUUAAGUGCAGAAUAACUUAAGUAUUGAUCUGCUCCAUAUAUCAAAAAGACUAUAGAAGAUUCUCAAAAAUUCUAUAAGCUGCAACAGCCCAAAGAAACUAAAUGUGACUAUGUAUGUGUGUUGAAAUACAAAAGGACCAGAGAAGUAUUCUGGAGAUUUCAAGAAGAUAAGGUUCUUCUUUCAAAAAUCAGAAGGUCAAUUUCUAACCCACCAUUUAUUUUUUAAGAGGAUCCUGCUAUACCCCUCCCCUGUUGCCCUGUGGGCUUUUUGCUCUGCCUCAAGUUUUUCAUGUACCAAUGGAAAUAGAAAGACAGGGACUGCUAAGAACAAAAUUUUAAAUAACCUUUUUCUUUCUCUUUCUCUCUCUCUCUCUCACACAGUAGGCUUUAUCAAUUUAUAUCCACUUUCUUUUGUGAAAUUUAAUUUAGUCAUUUUCCAAGACAUCCUCAUUCAUUUUGUGAUUGAGCUCCAUCUUUCUAAAUGGAAAGAGGGUUGGGUUGAAUAUAUAGAGGGAGGUGACCUUUACCCAAUGAUGGGAUUGUGCGAGAGAUUUAUGAUUGUAAAAGGAUUCCUGUCUACACAGAUGGCAAAUCCCAGCAUUUCUAGUCUCUGCCACUGCCUCAUUUCCUUCUGCCACAUUGCUCUGCUGCAAUGUUCAAUCAUUGUCUCCUUUGGUAUGUUUCAAUUGACAGGAACAUUUACAAAUGAAAUCCUUACUAAAGGUGAAGUAAAACGAUUUUCUCCUUCAAACUGAUGACAUCUCUGGUGUCUAGGAACAGAAGGGAGAAUCCAUCUGUUGGCAGGAAGAGAAAAAAGAAGGUACACAAGGUACUGUAUGUUUGCAAUUUUUUUUUUCAAACACUGGAGACAGGAAAUGUUUGAGUUGAAGUGCUAAUGGUAAAUGUCUGAGUGUGUGCUCCGUAUUAUUGCAUGCAAAAAUUGCAUUUAAAAUGAACUUAGAGAUGACACUUUAAAUACUCAGUCCCCCCCCCAGCCAAACAAAACCAUUUUUUAAAAAUACAAACUAUACUAAUAAUGUGAAUGACAUGUUGGAAAAAUUAAGCUAGGUAUGCAGUGCUCUUUAAAAUGAUCACUGUCAUUUAAUCUGUUUCCACCAACAUUUUAGGUUCCCUGAUGCAGAGAGAAAUACAUAAUGAGAUAUGCUCAUUAAUGUGGAGUCUUAGGAUAUUUCUCUUUAUCGUUUAGGUGCUUUUAAAGAUACUGAUUUUUGUCUUAGGAGAAAACUGUGUGUAAAAUACCCCUCAAAAACCUGACUGAAUCAGCAGAAUAACAUAACCUGUCUGGCUUCCAUGUAUCAGAAAUUCCUUACUAC
This 6761-nucleotide long non-coding RNA is filed under the name Sus scrofa (pig). RNAcentral describes it as "lncRNA (ENSSSCG00050007560.1)". Lineage: Eukaryota; Metazoa; Chordata; Mammalia; Artiodactyla; Suidae. The record is from RNAcentral.